CUUUGUCCAGCGUCUCUGCACUGUAGACACUCCAGGCCCAUGAAUCACUUAGCAGUGUUUGUGUUCAAAGAAUCCUUAUUCUACUUAAUAAUGGCCCCAAAAGAUAAGAGUAGUGAGGCUGGCAAUCUGCAUAUGCCAAAGAGAACUGUAAAGUGCUUCCUUUCGGUGAAACGGUAAAAGUUCUUGACUUAAGGAAAAAGAAAUCACAUGCUGGAGCUGCUAAAAUAAGAACAAAUUUUCUAUCCAUGACAUCGUGAAGAAGAAAGAAAUUCAUGCUAGUUUUGCUGUCACACCUCAGAUUGCAAAAGUGAUGGCCACAGUGCAUGAUAAGUGCUCAGGUGGAAAAGACAUUACAUUUUGGGGUGGAAGACGUGAGCAAGUGACAGCAGUGUGUCACACCAGAAAGCACUGAGCCCAUACAAAGACUUCAGCAAGGGAUCUGAAAUGAGUGACACCAAGCCAUUUACUGCAAAUAAGGGAUGGUUACACACAUUCAGGAAUACAAAAGGUCAACAGUAGCCUAACACCACGUCACAAUGCCUAUGGCGUUCACCUCACUUCAUCUCAUCUCACUGUACCAUCUCAUAUCAUCACAAAAGGAAGGACCCCAGCUAGUAUGUGUACAAAGAAGAGGUCAUGUGAGCAUACAACAAAAUGGAGACCUAUAAGCCAACAGAAAAAAGACUUAGAAUGAAGCCUAUCUUGCCGGCACCUCGGACUUCUCAGCCUUCAGACUGUGAGAAAUAAAUUUCUGUUGUUUAAGCCACCCAGCCUAUGGCAUUUUGUUAUGACAGCCUGAACAGACUAAUAUAUUCAUGUACACAAAUAACCAACCAUGGAUGGUUUUAUCUUUGGACACAAGAGAGACCAACUAACCAAUCUCCAAAGCUAGCAUGGGAGUUAUAAAAGCUAAAUUUUCUGAUUGGCAACUCCAUGAUGGAUAUCUAUAUCAAGAAAACGAUGAAAUCAACAGAUGUAAGCAACAUGUGAAGUGCAGGGGCUUUUACUGUGGUAUCUUCAACAUCCAGAACAAUACACUGUACUUGGCAUGAAGUCAAUCAAGAAAUAUUGGUUGAACAAACAAAUACGUGAAAGUGCUGACAUCAAUCAUGGCUAGAAGUAAACUUUGCAGAAGGAUUUUGGGAAAUAUUUUUACUUCCUCAAUCUCUGGGAAUAAAUUAAACAGUAGAUGUUAAAAUGAGAGGGUUUAUAGGGGAAAGUUGAAAGAUUUAGGAAGGAAACAAAUAUAAAUAAUAUAACCAUUGUUUAUAAAUCUUUAAAAAGUGUGAACACUUAUUUAAUGUAUAAUUUGG
RNAcentral lists this long non-coding RNA (1313 nucleotides) under Homo sapiens (human). RNAcentral's name for it is "HSALNT0213310". Lineage: Eukaryota; Metazoa; Chordata; Mammalia; Primates; Hominidae. The record is from RNAcentral.